GGUGGCUCAGUGGUAGAGCGCUUGCCUUACAGGCAUGAGGCUCUGGGUUCAAUUCCUCAGCACCA
This 65-nucleotide transfer RNA is filed under the name Dipodomys ordii (Ord's kangaroo rat). It matches the Rfam family "tRNA". From Rfam's summary of the family: Transfer RNA (tRNA) molecules are approximately 80 nucleotides in length. Lineage: Eukaryota; Metazoa; Chordata; Mammalia; Rodentia; Heteromyidae. The record is from Rfam by way of RNAcentral.